Molecule: ribosomal RNA, 253 nt
Filed under: uncultured bacterium
Lineage: Bacteria
Description: partial 16S ribosomal RNA
Rfam family: Bacterial small subunit ribosomal RNA
Source: RNAcentral
UACGAAGGGGGCUAGCGUUGUUCGGAAUUACUGGGCGUAAAGCGCACGUAGGCGGAUAUUUAAGUCAGGGGUGAAAUCCCGGGGCUCAACCCCGGAACUGCCUUUGAUACUGAAGAUCUUGAGUUCGGGAGAGGUGAGUGGAACUGCGAGUGUAGAGGUGAAAUUCGUAGAUAUUCGCAAGAACACCAGUGGCGAAGGCGGCUCACUGGCCCGAUACUGACGCUGAGGCACGAAAGCGUGGGGAGCAAACAGG